AGCAAGCUAAGGGCAACGAGAAGCGCGUGGGCAUGAUCAAGAGGUACCGCGCGGUGGUGGAGGGCGAGCUCGACAAAAUCUGCCAUGAGAUCCUGGACCUGCUCGACAAGUACCUGGUGCCCAGCGCCUCUACCACCGAGGCCGCUGUCUUCUACCUGAAGAUGAAGGCCGAUUACCACCGCUACCUGUCUGAGUACAAGACGGACGAGGCCAAAGCGGCGGCCGCGGAGUUGACGCUGGCCGCCUACAAGGUCGCCCAGGAGAAGGCCGACGAGCUGCCCACGACCAACCCCAUCAGGUACACAAGGUUUGGGGCCGGAGCGCGCGCCUGGAGCGGCAUGCAUGCAAGUUUCUGACCUUGUUUCGGUGCCGAAUGUCGCGAAUGCAGGCUGGGUCUGGCGCUCAACUUCUCGGUCUUCUAC
This 422-nucleotide long non-coding RNA is filed under the name Chlamydomonas reinhardtii. RNAcentral's name for it is "long non-coding RNA (CREI_LNC000486)". Lineage: Eukaryota; Viridiplantae; Chlorophyta; Chlorophyceae; Chlamydomonadales; Chlamydomonadaceae. The record is from RNAcentral.